This 253-nucleotide ribosomal RNA is filed under the name uncultured bacterium. Its description in RNAcentral is "partial 16S ribosomal RNA". It matches the Rfam family "Bacterial small subunit ribosomal RNA", at positions 524 to 776 of the family's 1533-position model. The record is from RNAcentral.
UACGUAGGGGGCAAGCGUUGUCCGGAUUUACUGUGCGUAAAGAGCGUGUAGUCGGCCACGCAGGUCCGUUGUGAAAACUGGAGUCUCAACCUCCAGCUGUCGACGGAAACCGUAUGGCUAGAGUCCGGAAGAGGAGAGUGGAAUUCCUGGUGUAGCGGUGAAAUGCGCAGAUAUCAGGAAGAACACCAAUGGCGAAGGCAGCUCUCUGGGACGGUACUGACGCUGAGACGCGAAAGCGUGGGGAGCGAACAGG